AGUGAACGCUGGCGGUAGGCCUAACACAUGCAAGUCGAACGGCAGCACAGUAAGAGCUUGCUCUUACGGGUGGCGAGUGGCGGACGGGUGAGGAAUACAUCGGAAUCUACUUUUUCGUGGGGGAUAACGUAGGGAAACUUACGCUAAUACCGCAUACGACCUACGGGUGAAAGCAGGGGAUCUUCGGACCUUGCGCGAUUGAAUGAGCCGAUGUCGGAUUAGCUAGUUGGCGGGGUAAAGGCCCACCAAGGCGACGAUCCGUAGCUGGUCUGAGAGGAUGGUCAGCCACACUGGAACGGAGACACGGUCCAGACUCCUACGGGAGGCAGCAGUGGGGAAUAUUGGACAGUGGGCGCAAGCCUGAUCCAGCCAUACCGCGUGGGUGAAGAAGGCCUUCGGGUUGUAAAGCCCUUUUGUUGGGAAAGAAAAGCAGCAGGUUAAUACCCCGCUGUUCUGACGGUAACCAAAGAAUAAGCACCGGCUAACUUCGUG
Molecule: ribosomal RNA, 492 nt
Filed under: uncultured bacterium
Lineage: Bacteria
Description: partial 16S ribosomal RNA
Rfam family: Bacterial small subunit ribosomal RNA
Source: RNAcentral